GCUAAUGUAGCUCAGUUGGCUAGAGCAGCUGAUUUGUAAUCAGCCGGUCGGGGGUUCGAGUCCCUUUAUUAGCA
This 74-nucleotide transfer RNA is filed under the name Candidatus Delongbacteria bacterium. RNAcentral's name for it is "tRNA-Thr". It matches the Rfam family "tRNA". Rfam says of the family: Transfer RNA (tRNA) molecules are approximately 80 nucleotides in length. Their secondary structure includes four short double-helical elements and three loops (D, anti-codon, and T loops). RNAcentral also lists the same sequence under 1 other name. The record is from RNAcentral. Lineage: Bacteria; Candidatus Delongiibacteriota.